This 463-nucleotide ribosomal RNA is filed under the name uncultured bacterium. RNAcentral describes it as "partial 16S ribosomal RNA". It matches the Rfam family "Bacterial small subunit ribosomal RNA", at positions 28 to 507 of the family's 1533-position model. The record is from RNAcentral.
GACGAACGCUGGCGGCGUGCUUAACACAUGCAAGUCGAACGGAAAGGCCUUUUCGGCGGUACUCGAGUGGCGAACGGGUGAGUAACACGUGGGUGAUCUGCCCUGCACUCUGGGAUAAGCCUGGGAAACUGGGUCUAAUACCGGAUAGGACCGCACUUUAGUGUGUGUGGUGGAAAGUUUUUUCGGUGUAGGAUGAGCCCGCGGCCUAUCAGCUUGUUGGUGGGGUAAUGGCCUACCAAGGCGGCGACGGGUAGCUGGACUGAGAGGUUGGUCGGCCACAUUGGGACUGAGAUACGGCCCAGACUCCUACGGGAGGCAGCAGUGGGGAAUAUUGCACAAUGGGCGCAAGCCUGAUGCAGCGACGCCGCGUGGGGGAUGACGGCCUUCGGGUUGUAAACUCCUUUCGCCAGGGACGAAGCGUUUUGUGACGGUACCUGGAGAAGAAGCACCGGCUAACUACGUG